RNAcentral lists this long non-coding RNA (217 nucleotides) under Vigna radiata. Its description in RNAcentral is "long non-coding RNA (VRAD_LNC007001)". The record is from RNAcentral. Lineage: Eukaryota; Viridiplantae; Streptophyta; Magnoliopsida; Fabales; Fabaceae.
AGGAGAUGAAAUUGGAUAUGCACAAGAGUGAAUUGGUGAAAACUAACCUUAAUAAUAUCAUUUCACACCAUUUCUAAUCUAUUCCAUAUUUCAAGUGUCUUCAAAUAUCAAAUGCCAACCUUGUAAUUAUUUAUGAAUGUUGAAAGGAUUUUUGUCGCCUAAAAUCUCAACAAUUUCCCACUAAUGUAGUAUAGGGACAACCUAGGGUUUAAUCCGU